RNAcentral lists this ribosomal RNA (1065 nucleotides) under Triticum aestivum (bread wheat). RNAcentral's name for it is "partial small subunit ribosomal RNA". Lineage: Eukaryota; Viridiplantae; Streptophyta; Magnoliopsida; Poales; Poaceae. The record is from RNAcentral.
AUGAUCGUGAAGAGCAUCAGCUUGAGGAAGUGGGAGAGGAUGUUCCGGGGCUUGGGCGAGGUCAGGUUGAGGGCGUCCUCGCCGUCGCCGUCGACCGCCACGACGCGGUCGAUCUUGACGCAGACGUCGUGGACGUGGGGCACGAGCCCGUUGAACCGCUUGGACGCGGCGGAGCAGCGGCCGAGGGAACGCACGUCCUCCACCUUGUUGAGGAUGAGCAGGACGAGCGAGUCCGGCAGGCAGUCGAACAGGUCGAGCUCGAGCUCGAGCGCCGGGUCCGCGUGGAUUCGGGCCUUGGGAAGCAUCGCGCCGCCGGAAGGUCACGCCUUCUGCGCCGCCCGCCCACCCACCCCGCGGAACAAACGGCACCAAGAUUGCCGGGAAUGGGCAAGAACAGGCUGCUCGACCUUGGCUCUUCGGAUGGCUCGCGCAAUGGCAGCAACCGCCCGCCAAAUCGACGCGACGCGACCGCCUGAAGGGAAGGAGAAGAGGAACAGCUCAGAGCACGGACGGGAAACAUCAGAGACAUGGAUGAAAUGUCAAGGGAUUGAAGCAACAUGCAGCAAAAUCACCAUCAACAAUCGAAGGGGACCUCAAAUGAAGAACCGGGCGAGUGGAAUCCACCAAUCUUUUACAUACCUCAGCCGCCGGUCGCCACCACCGCCGCAGCCGCGCGCGGACGAACAACUAACCCAGGCGAGCAAAUCGGACCGAGACCCGCCCAGAACCCGCGCUCUCCGCCGGAUCCGACGCCGGCGAGCGCCUGGGAGGCCAGGGAACCGCCCGAAAACUCCCCGCAAUUCCCCGCCCGACCGACCGACCGACCGCGGCGCGGCUGCUCCGGCGAGCAGAUGCAACGCACUCCGCGAGCUCCGAUUCGGCGGGCUCCCGGCGGCAAUCCGGCGAGGGUGCUGGCUAGGGUUUAUCGGAGGCGAGGGAUUGGGGAUAUUUUUCUCCGCUCCUCCCGGCGGCAGCUGUUUUUCUCUAGCUCGUGCGGUCGCAGAGGAACAACGAGAGUGCUUCUGCUCUGCUCUCCGGCACCACUCGACGGUGGGCGGCUUUUAA